UUGAAAUUCUCAAGAUUCUAGCGUUGAAACUGAAAGAAGACGAACUACUUACCAAAUGGAUCGAAUGAAAAUUUCAAAGAUACCCGGAUAAACAAGGUCGUCGCUCGCAGCUAGCCAUGUUCUGCCGAAGAGUUUUAUCGCAGGCAUUUUUCUGUGGAACAUAUCGCGAUUUCAUCCCGCGUCGAAUCUCACGAGCUGGUUGGCGGUGACUGUCCAGCACGGCCACAACUUUCCCUUCGUUCCUCUCGAUCACACGUUCCUUCGCUUACGAAAAAACCAAUUGCUUCUCAUGGGGAUAUACGGCAAUGGUAGGAGUAGAUGUCCCUAGCAAUAUUAUAUAAAUUUUCAUAUGAAUCGAUUCACGUAAAUAAACGGCAUCUGUAACUACCUUGUUUAUAAAUUAUCUGUUGAAAACUGCAAACUGAGGAAACAGCGUUAAAACAUCUGAA
Molecule: unclassified non-coding RNA, 449 nt
Filed under: Bombus terrestris (buff-tailed bumblebee)
Lineage: Eukaryota; Metazoa; Arthropoda; Insecta; Hymenoptera; Apidae
Description: misc RNA ENSBTSG00005035773.1
Source: RNAcentral